CACAAAAUCCAAUCUCACUCUCCUUGUUCUUCUAUGACUCAAAUCACCACCGCCAACAUCCACCGUCCGACCACCACCUCAACCAUCGACCACCACUGUCUACCACCUCUGACAACCACCUCAACCACCCUGACCGCCGUUGCCCCCCAGCACCACUGUACCCCACCGUACUCCCUCUCCUUUCCUACGCAACUCCCCUGUCCUCUCCCUCUUUUCUCUUCGCAACACCACCCCCGACAACCACCACCACCUCCAUCACCUUGCCAAUCAACCACCGCCACAAAACAACCCAGCGAGCCUCCCUACCGCCGCCCAGAACGCCCAGAAACACCCCCUCCCGAACCUCCCCUGCUUCCCCUCCUUCGCAACUCCCUCGCCUUCCUCUCUUUCUCUGCUGCGCCGCCCAUCGGCCACCACCACCUCUGUCUCCCUACUGUCACUCUCUGGCGCGGUAUUGCGCCGCUGCGACACCUAGGCCGCCGCCCAGCCGAGGUGAGCCACCCCUACCUUCGCGGUCCACCGCGCCUUGCCUCCCUCCUAACUCGACUCCCCUGCUCUCUCUCUGAAUCGCACAACCACCGCGCCACUGUGCUGGCGUUACCGUCGGCGCCGCUCAGGCCGCACAGACCCGCCGCCCACCCUCCUUCCUUUCCUCCUCCUCCGUGCCCUGCUGCUGCGUUCCCUCUCUCCUUUGCUCGACAUUCAAAAGUCAGAAAACCCAAAUUCCUUACUUAAGAAUCCUAUUAAACCAAAAACAAAAGGGCUGGGCCCAAUUCUAACCACUUGGGCAUUGGAAAUUGGACUCGGGGCUCAGGAGGAACGAUCCAUCAGACGGGAAGUAUAAAACUACGGUUGAGGUACUGCGGGAACGAUGGAAACGAGUAGUGGCGAGGAAUUUCACUUUAAUAUUAUUCACCUAGUUUAUGCUUAAUGUUUUAAUAGUUUAAUUAAAGACUCUUAAGUAGUUAUGUACUUUUAUUUUGGGGAAUAUAAAAGAUUGUUAUAUUAAUUUGGGUUUUGAUAGCUU
Molecule: long non-coding RNA, 1027 nt
Organism: Spinacia oleracea (spinach)
Lineage: Eukaryota; Viridiplantae; Streptophyta; Magnoliopsida; Caryophyllales; Amaranthaceae
Exons: 3
Source: RefSeq, a predicted model, not a curated record